This 451-nucleotide ribosomal RNA is filed under the name Bacillus sp. N-0-55-17. Its description in RNAcentral is "bacterial SSU rRNA". It matches the Rfam family "Bacterial small subunit ribosomal RNA", at positions 8 to 460 of the family's 1533-position model. Lineage: Bacteria; Bacillati; Bacillota; Bacilli; Caryophanales; Bacillaceae. The record is from RNAcentral.
AGAGUUUGAUCAUGGCUCAGGACGAACGCUGGCGGCGUGCCUAAUACAUGCAAGUCGAGCGAGGGUUUUCGAACCCUAGCGGCGGACGGGUGAGUAACACGUAGGCAACCUGCCUCUCAGACCGGGAUAACAUAGGGAAACUUAUGCUAAUACCGGAUAGGUUUUUGGAUCGCAUGAUCUGAAAAGGAAAGAUGGCGUUUGCUAUCACUGGGAGAUGGGCCUGCGGCGCAUUAGCUAGUUGGUGGGGUAACGGCCUACCAAGGCGAUGAUGCGUAGCCGACCUGAGAGGGUGACCGGCCACACUGGGACUGAGACACGGCCCAGACUCCUACGGGAGGCAGCAGUAGGGUAUUUUCCACAAUGGACGAAAGUCUGAUGGAGCAACGCCGCGUGAACGAUGAAGGUCUUCGGUAUUGUAAAGUUCUGUUGUCAGGGACGAAUAAGUACCGUU